GGGGCUACGAAAUGAGGGCGCUUUGGGUCACCCUCCCACCCGUGUUUAUUUUACCUUGUUGCUUCGGCGGGCCCGCCUUUACUGGCCGCCGGGGGGCUCACGCCCCCGGGCCCGCGCCCGCCGAACACACCCCCGAACUCUGUCUGAAGAUUGAAGUCUGAGUGAAAAUAUAAAUUAUUUAAAACUUUCAACAACGGAUCUCUUGGUUCCGGCAUCAAUGAAGAACGCAGCGAAAUGCGAUACGUAAUGUGAAUUGCAAAUUCACUGAAUCAUCUAGUCUUUGAACGCACAUUGCGCCCCCUGGUAUUCCGGGGGGCGUGCCUGUCCGAGCGUCAUUGCUGCCCUCAAGCCCGGCUUGUGUGUUGGGCCCCGUCCUCCAAUUCCGGGGGACGGGCCCAAAAGGGAGCGGCGGCACCGCGUCCGGUCCUCUAGCGUAUGGGGCUUUGUCAGCCGCUCUGUAUGCCCGGCCGGCGCUUGCCGAUCUUCCAGAUUUUUAUCCAGGUUGACCUCGGAUCAGGUAGGGAUACCAGCUGAACUUAAGCAUAUCUAUACGGCUGAGGAAAAUUAUAUAAUUAAGGGCAUUUAAGUCCAACUCCCCCCUGUUUAUUUUACCUUGUUGCUGCCGGGGAACACCUUACCGGCCCCUGGGGGCUCAGCCCCCGGCCGCUCGCCAAGACCCCCAGAUUGGUUGGGCCAGACGUUUUGAAAACAAAUUUAAUUAUAUAAACAUUUACUCAAAUAUUGAAUUGGUCUCCAACACUUUAAGAAACUCGGAAUUGCACAACAAAAGAGCAGAAGUGCAAUAUGGAAGAAGAAUUGCUUAUUUUCAUGAAUCAGCACCUCUGGAGCAGGGGCCGGGAAAAUCCAAAGGCCCCCGCUUCAACCCGUUUCUCCCCCCGCUUCGCCUCGAAGGAAACCCAAAGGCGAAAAAGCCUUUGCUUCAAAAGAAUGGGCUGGGUCCAACCGGAAAAGGCCGCCCGCCCCCCCACGCAAAAUGUUUUUCCAACCCAUUGAAUGGUGGGGGCCGGACUAUUCCUUGUUUUGUUGGCCCGGCAGUUAAAAACCAAACUUUUGGAACCAAAACCCGGGGGGAAAACCCG
RNAcentral lists this unclassified non-coding RNA (1100 nucleotides) under Penicillium aurantiogriseum. RNAcentral's name for it is "sequence contains ITS1 and 5.8S rRNA gene". The stretch from base 183 to 335 matches the Rfam family "5.8S ribosomal RNA". Lineage: Eukaryota; Fungi; Ascomycota; Eurotiomycetes; Eurotiales; Aspergillaceae. The record is from RNAcentral.